CAGGAAAUAUUUAAAUUAAAUUUUCGCUUUGGGGUGUGAAUGGGGAACCUGAACCUUCUCCCUUAA
Molecule: transfer RNA, 66 nt
Filed under: Equus caballus (horse)
Lineage: Eukaryota; Metazoa; Chordata; Mammalia; Perissodactyla; Equidae
Description: transfer RNA-Pro
Source: RNAcentral